This 388-nucleotide ribosomal RNA is filed under the name uncultured bacterium. Its description in RNAcentral is "bacterial SSU rRNA". It matches the Rfam family "Bacterial small subunit ribosomal RNA", at positions 28 to 417 of the family's 1533-position model. The record is from RNAcentral.
GACGAACGCUGGCGGCGUGCUUAACACAUGCAAGUCGAGCGGUAAGGCCCUUUCGGGGGUACACGAGCGGCGAACGGGUGAGUAACACGUGGGUGACCUGCCCUCAGCUCUGGGAUAAGCCUGGGAAACCGGGUCUAAUACUGGAUAUGACUCCAUGACGCAUGUUGUGGGGUGGAAAGCCUUGCGCGGCUGAGGAUGGGCCCGCGGCCUAUCAGCUUGUUGGUGGGGUGAUGGCCUACCAAGGCGACGACGGGUAGCCGGCCUGAGAGGGCGACCGGCCACACUGGGACUGAGACACGGCCCAGACUCCUACGGGAGGCAGCAGUGGGGAAUCUUGCGCAAUGGGCGAAAGCCUGACGCAGCGACGCCGCGUGAGGGAUGACGGCCU